UUGAAAGGGAAACGAUUGAAGUCAGUCGUACCAGCGGGAAAUCAACCUUUCGAGUGGGGGUUUUGGAGUUUUGAAGAGUGUCAAAACCUUUGAGAUUUCAAAAUAUUCGCUCUUUUGGUGUACUGGUCUCGUGGGUAGGUUAACAUCGAUUUUGAUCAUCAUAAAAAGAUUGGAGGAAUGUAGCUUCGAUCUUGUAUUGAAGUGUUAUAGCCUUUGGUAAAUGUGAUGAUUAGGAUCGAGGAUUGCAACGAAUACCCUUUUGGGCUAUCCGCCUGAUCUCUGAUACGUGGCCUUGGUAUCGAAAGCGUGCUUAUGGUAUUGAGGUAUUACGGUCAAAAGGUUAGAACGGAUUACAUUCGUUAAGGAUGUUGACGUA
Molecule: ribosomal RNA, 376 nt
Filed under: uncultured Glomeromycotina
Lineage: Eukaryota; Fungi; Glomeromycota
Description: LSU rRNA
Source: RNAcentral